AGAGUUUGAUCCUGGCUCAGGACGAACGCUGGCGGCGUGCUUAACACAUGCAAGUCGAGCGGAAAGGCCCUUCGGGGUACUCGAGCGGCGAACGGGUGAGUAACACGUGAGCAACCUGCCCUUAGCUCUGGGAUAGCUCCGGGAAACCGGAAUUAAUACCGGAUAUGACCUAGGCCGACAUCGGCCGUGGUGGAAAGUUUUUCGGCUAGGGAUGGACUCGCGGCCUAUCAGCUAGUUGGUGGGGUAAUGGCCUACCAAGGCGACGACGGGUAGCCGGCCUGAGAGGGCGACCGGCCACACUGGGACUGAGACACGGCCCAGACUCCUACGGGAGGCAGCAGUGGGGAAUCUUGCGCAAUGGGCGAAAGCCUGACGCAGCGACGCCGCGUGGGGGAUGAAGGCCUUCGGGUUGUAAACCCCUUUCAGCAGGGACGAAGCGAAAGUGACGGUACCUGCAGAAGAAGCGCCGGCUAACUACGUGCCAGCAGCCGCGGUAACACGUAGGGCGCAAGCGUUGUCCGGAAUUAUUGGGCGUAAAGAGCUCGUAGGCGGACUGUUGCGUCCGCUGUGAAAAGCUGGGGCUUAACCCUGGCCUUGCAGUGGAUACGGGCAGACUAGAGGUAGGUAGGGGAGAAUGGAAUUCCCGGUGUAGCGGUGAAAUGCGCAGAUAUCGGGAGGAACACCGGUGGCGAAGGCGGUUCUCUGGGCCUUACCUGACGCUGAGGAGCGAAAGCGUGGGGAGCGAACAGGAUUAGAUACCCUAGUAGUCC
This 770-nucleotide ribosomal RNA is filed under the name uncultured bacterium. Its description in RNAcentral is "bacterial SSU rRNA". It matches the Rfam family "Bacterial small subunit ribosomal RNA", at positions 8 to 796 of the family's 1533-position model. The record is from RNAcentral.